AAGAUAGAAUGAGAUGAGGACU
This 22-nucleotide microRNA is filed under the name Oreochromis niloticus (Nile tilapia). RNAcentral describes it as "oni-miR-10574". Lineage: Eukaryota; Metazoa; Chordata; Actinopteri; Cichliformes; Cichlidae. The record is from miRBase by way of RNAcentral.